UGCAAUCUUACAAUAUCCUCUCUUCUCAUUGUCCUUUUAGUUUUGUUCUGUUUGUGCCAUCCCAUUCGACGAAAUACCAGCAUACCAAAGCCAGUUAACAGAAAGAUAUGAGUUAAUCACAGACCACCUCACCCCUGGGUAAAUAAGUAAAUCAAUAAAUGACGGAGAAAAACCUCAAAAAUGACACGUUAAAUAGCUAUACUCUCCUGCUACCGUUGGUGUCAUAGGAAAUGUUAAUGACGGUAUACGCACAGGAACUGUACUGGAAUAGGAAUAUCUUGGGUUGAGUAUAUCGCUCAGCCAUUGAUAUUGGAGAGACGGGAAUACAAAUAUUUAAUCCAACAGCUUCUAGUAUCGCUCCCUGAGGAAUUGAUGUGCCGAAUCCGGGAUUCAAAAUUCUAUCACGCUACAGGGUACAAAAUGGGCGUCUUAGAAAUGGCCGGGCUCAUUUAUGUGUUAUAGCAAGAUAAUGAAUUGGUCAUUUCAAAUGGAUUGAAGACUGCACAGGAAUAAGAAGACGAAAGUUUUUCUCAACUUUUCAUACCUAGAAAAAUCAGAUAGUUACGAAUAUGGUUGUUUUCUGUGAAGUUCUUUCUUUCUCUACCUCUUCCGCCCUCCAUUCAUUAAUAUUAAAUUGAUAUUAAAACCUGAAAAGAUGUAUUUUAGAAUUGCUUUCGAUACCGAAGACGAAAAAACCAUCUUCGAUGAUAAUUUACAG
Molecule: small RNA, 718 nt
Filed under: Histoplasma capsulatum
Lineage: Eukaryota; Fungi; Ascomycota; Eurotiomycetes; Onygenales; Ajellomycetaceae
Also listed under: 1 other name
Description: hypothetical RNA
Source: RNAcentral